CCUACGGGGGGCUGCAGUGGGGAAUAUUGGACAAUGGGGGCAACCCUGAUCCAGCCAUGCCGCGUGUGUGAAGAAGGCCCUCGGGUUGUAAAGCACUUUCAGUGAGGAAGAACGCCUGGUGGUUAAUACCCAUCAGGAAAGACAUCACUCACAGAAGAAGCACCGGCUAACUCCGUGCCAGCAGCCGCGGUAAUACGGAGGGUGCGAGCGUUAAUCGGAAUUACUGGGCGUAAAGCGCGCGUAGGUGGCUUGAUAAGCCGGUUGUGAAAGCCCCGGGCUCAACCUGGGAACGGCAUCCGGAACUGUGAAGCUAGAGUGCAGGAGAGGAAGGUAGAAUUCCGGGUGUAGCGGUGAAAUGCGUAGAGAUCGGGAGGAAUACCGGUGGCGAAGGCGGCCUUCUGGACUGACACUGACGCUGAGGUGCGAAAGCGUGGGUAGCAAACAGGAUUAGAUACCCCUGUAGUC
RNAcentral lists this ribosomal RNA (465 nucleotides) under Vreelandella stevensii. RNAcentral describes it as "partial 16S ribosomal RNA". It matches the Rfam family "Bacterial small subunit ribosomal RNA", at positions 338 to 795 of the family's 1533-position model. The record is from RNAcentral. Lineage: Bacteria; Pseudomonadati; Pseudomonadota; Gammaproteobacteria; Oceanospirillales; Halomonadaceae.